GAUGAACGCUGGCGGCGUGCCUAAUACAUGCAAGUCGAGCGAACAGAUAAGGAGCUUGCUCCUUUGACGUUAGCGGCGGACGGGUGAGUAACACGUGGAUAACCUACCUAUAAGACUGGGAUAACUUCGGGAAACCGGAGCUAAUACCGGAUAACAUAUUGAACCGCAUGGUUCAAUAGUGAAAGGCGGCUUUGCUGUCACUUAUAGAUGGAUCCGCGCCGUAUUAGCUAGUUGGUAAGGUAACGGCUUACCAAGGCAACGAUACGUAGCCGACCUGAGAGGGGGGUCGGCCCCAGGGGAACUGACACCCGGUCAAGCCUCCUAGGGGGGGAACAAGAGGGGAUUCUCCCGCAAGGGGGAAAGGCCUGAGGGAGCAACGCGGGGGGAGGAAAGAAGUUUUUGGGAUCGAAAAACUUUGUUACCGGGGAAAAAAAAAUGUGAAAGUACCUGUGCACAUCUGGACGGUCCCUGACCAGAAGGCCACGGCAAACCACGUC
Molecule: ribosomal RNA, 497 nt
Filed under: uncultured bacterium
Lineage: Bacteria
Description: partial 16S ribosomal RNA
Rfam family: Bacterial small subunit ribosomal RNA
Source: RNAcentral